RNAcentral lists this ribosomal RNA (305 nucleotides) under uncultured bacterium. Its description in RNAcentral is "partial 16S ribosomal RNA". It matches the Rfam family "Bacterial small subunit ribosomal RNA", at positions 508 to 807 of the family's 1533-position model. The record is from RNAcentral.
ACAGCAGCCGCCGCGGGAAUACAGAGGGUGCGAGCGUUAAUCAAAUUUACUGGGCGUAAAGCGUGCGUAGGCGGCUUUUUAAGUCGGAUGUGAAAUCCCUGAGCUUAACUUAGGAAUUGCAUUCGAUACUGGGAAGCUAGAGUAUGGGAGAGGAUGGUAGAAUUCCAGGUGUAGCGGUGAAAUGCGUAGAGAUCUGGAGGAAUACCGAUGGCGAAGGCAGCCAUCUGGCCUAAUACUGACGCUGAGGUACGAAAGCAUGGGGAGCAAACAGGAUUAGAUACCCCCGUAGUCCCUGUCUCUUAUAC